CAAACUUGCUAGGGUUCGAAAAAUUUAGGGUUGUAAUCGAAACUUGAUCCGUGAAAUCGAUAUAGAAAAAUGAUUUACGACGUUAAUUCUCCACUUUUCCGAUCCUUCCUCAGCCAGAAAGGCGGUUCUUCUGACAAGAGGUAUUUACCAUAUAAUUACCUCUGCUAAUUUUCUCGAUAAUUUUCACAUAUACAUUUCUCUUUUACAAUCUAGCUUUUACUAUAUCAUGUUUUGUGAGUUUAGAAUAUUUGAUGCGAGGCUACAGAAUUUGUGUAACCAACAAUGCGUAGGUGGGAUGUUUUAUGUUUUGGUCUCAAUUAUUAGCUAAUUCGGGCUCAUUGCAGUUUUAUAGAAUUUCUGAAAUAGGCUAAAUUCUCAUGAGAUUCCCCAAAGGAUUUGUAAGCAAAAAAAAAUAAAUAAAUAAAAAAUAAAAAUCGUGUCCGUGAGAUUCUUGUAGUUUCAUUAUAAGAUUCAUAAAUUUAAUGUGCAUAUUGAUUCACAGCCCUCUCUGGAUUUAAUUGGUGGUUUUUGUUAAGUUGCUAUUGCACCAUAUAGUUAUUUAUUUGAAGACUUGAUUUGAACUUUGAAGUAACCUAGUGCACAUUUGAAGACCAAUAAAGUUGUAAAUUUUAUUAUCCUGAGUAUUUUCUGCACAUAAUUGGCUGGAAACAGCUUAUGCAAAAUUGUUUGCAUCUUUCCAUUUUACCUUGGUUCAAUAUAUUUUAUUAGGCCUUUCAAUAUUUGAUCAGACAAGGACUUGCUGUUGCAAAUAUAAAGCAACUUUUUUGAAGAGGAAAAUUAAGUUAAUUGCUUCUACUUUGAAUGUUCUCAGUGUUUAAUUGAUGUGCUUUGUACAAUCGAAUGCAAUUCCAGGAAAACGGAAGAGCAGAAGCCGAGGGAACAGAAGCCAAAGGCCAAUGAAAACAAGCCGGUUAUGACAGAGUAAUAAGGGCAGUGUCAUGGUAAGCUCGAACAUGGAUAGGGUACCUCAAAGGAUAUUGAAAAUGUUAUUAAGCAUUCUAUCCUAGAACUUGUUAUGUGAUUUGUGGUUUAAUUCCGGAUGUUAUAUCAAUGGCAAUGGCUUUUGGUUAGUAGAAGAAAUCAUGCUAUAGGUUUUUGGAAAUUUGAUCUUAGUCCUUUUUGGGAUGUGUUGUUUUUCUUUCUUUUUGAGAAGGAUGGAGGAGGCUUGGGAUUGGGUACGUAAUUUCUACAAAAUUUAGGGACA
This 1225-nucleotide long non-coding RNA is filed under the name Olea europaea subsp. europaea. The record is from RNAcentral. Lineage: Eukaryota; Viridiplantae; Streptophyta; Magnoliopsida; Lamiales; Oleaceae.